UAGAGAUCUCUCUCAUCUCUCUAAAUCUCUCUCUAAAAAUUGGAGGGUUGGUGGAGAAGAUGCUUGCGAACGCGUUGGAGGCGACGGAUCGAGCUUUUGUGCGCCCGUUGGAGCGGCGUAUUUUCGUCGUGGCGUUCAUAUUGAGGUAAACGAAUGCGUUGGCGAAGACGGUUCGGCGAUUCGUCAAGCCGGUGCAAAGUUAUUAAAGAAACGGACGUUUAGGCUUGCGUUUUCGCCUGGAGGGCCGAGGCGACGUCGUAAAAUCCUGGAAACGGAUUUGAAGCACCGUAACAGCAAAACGAAGACCCUUUUUGCCCGAGGUUGCGAAGCGAUGCGCGGUUGGUGCGCAAUUGCAUGUUCCGGCGGAACCGAGCACCGGAUGUCGCGGGAGGCCGAUUGCAAGUGUCGACAAGCAAUCGGAAUGCGAAAUGAGGUUCGCACGUGAGCGGCGCGGCGGCGCAAGGCGAGGGCGUAGCUCCAUAGAUAGCGCCCUAC
Long non-coding RNA from Ananas comosus (pineapple), 495 nucleotides. RefSeq lists it as uncharacterized. The transcript has 3 exons. The record is from RefSeq and is a predicted model, not a curated record. NCBI's taxonomy places the organism in Eukaryota, Viridiplantae, Streptophyta, Magnoliopsida, Poales, Bromeliaceae.